Strongylocentrotus purpuratus (purple sea urchin) is the source of this 371-nucleotide long non-coding RNA. RefSeq lists it as uncharacterized. NCBI's taxonomy places the organism in Eukaryota, Metazoa, Echinodermata, Echinoidea, Camarodonta, Strongylocentrotidae. The transcript has 3 exons. The record is from RefSeq and is a predicted model, not a curated record.
AUGUGAGAUUUGUUGCCUCCUGUGGCUGGACCUGGGUUUGGUGCAGGCUAUCGUUCAGUGUGCACUCAGGCCUCUCUUGCAAUGGCUUGAGUGCACGCUGGACGAUGACCUGGGCUUGGGUUCGGUUGCAGGAGGUGACAGCUUUCACAUGACUGGAGAAGACAUUACUGCAGAGAAGUCACAAGUGGUGCACGUGCAUAGUGGGCAAUUGAGUUACAUGACCACAAAGACUGUAUUGUAGGGGCGUACGUUGAAGUCAAGCUUUUUUUAUAUAGUGUGGGCGAAAAUGCCUUGAAACAGCUGGAGUUCCGAGAGUGCAUAGAGAGGAUAGGAUCUUUGGAGAGCUGACAGUGAGAGUUGGUGGAGAGAAG